RNAcentral lists this transfer RNA (68 nucleotides) under Aphrophora sp. EMHAU-15062701. RNAcentral describes it as "tRNA-Asp". Lineage: Eukaryota; Metazoa; Arthropoda; Insecta; Hemiptera; Aphrophoridae. The record is from RNAcentral.
UAAAAAUUAGUUUAAAAAAAAUUCUAGUUUGUCAAAUUAGAGAUUUCAAAUUUGAUUGAGAUUUUUAU